CCUACGGGUGGCAGCAGUAGGGAAUCUUUCACAAUGGGCGAAAGCCUGAUGGAGCAACGCCGCGUGCAGGAUGAAGGCCUUCGGGUUGUAAACUGCUUUUAUCAGCGAGAAAUAUGAUGGUAACUUAUGAAUAAGGAUCGGCUAACUACGUGCAAGCCGCCGCGGUCAUACGUAGGAUCCGAGCAUUAUCCGGAGUGACUGGGUGUAAAGAGUUGCGUAGGUGGCAUAAUAAGUAGCUAGUGAAAUCUGGUGGCUCAACCAUUCAGACUAUUAGCUAAACUGGUAAGCUCGAGACCGUUAGGGGUAACUGGAAUUUCUAGUGUAGGAGUGAAAUCCGUAGAGAUUAGGAGGAACACCAAUAGCGUAGGCAGGUUGCUGGGACGGGUCUGACACUAAGGCACGAAAGCGUAGGGAGCAAACGGGAUUAGAUACCCGAGUAGUC
Molecule: ribosomal RNA, 442 nt
Filed under: uncultured bacterium
Lineage: Bacteria
Description: partial 16S ribosomal RNA
Rfam family: Bacterial small subunit ribosomal RNA
Source: RNAcentral